CCUACGUGCGGCAGCAGUGGGGAAUAUUGGACAAUGGGGGGAACCCUGAUCCAGCGACGCCGCGUGAGUGAAGAAGUAUUUCGGUAUGUAAAGCUCUAUCAGCAGGGAAGAAAGAAAUGACGGUACCUGACUCAGAAGCCCCGGCUAACUACGUGCCAGCAGCCGCGGUAGUACGUAGGGGGCAAGCGUUAUCCGGAUUUACUGGGUGUAAAGGGAGCUUAGACGGCGAUGCAAGUCUGAAGUGAAAGGCGGGGGCCCAACCCCUGGACUGCUUUGGAAACUGUAUGGCUGGAGUGCAGGAGAGGUAAGUGGAAUUCCUAGGGUAGCGGUGAAAUGCGUAGAUAUUAGGAGGAACACCAGUGGCGAAGGCGGCUUACUGGACUGUAACUGACGUUGAGGCUCGAAAGCGUGGGGAGCAAACAGGAUUAGAUACCCUUGUAGUC
Molecule: ribosomal RNA, 443 nt
Filed under: uncultured bacterium
Lineage: Bacteria
Description: partial 16S ribosomal RNA
Rfam family: Bacterial small subunit ribosomal RNA
Source: RNAcentral